This 1094-nucleotide ribosomal RNA is filed under the name Triplophysa robusta. Its description in RNAcentral is "partial large subunit ribosomal RNA". It matches the Rfam family "Bacterial large subunit ribosomal RNA", at positions 144 to 2058 of the family's 2925-position model. The record is from RNAcentral. Lineage: Eukaryota; Metazoa; Chordata; Actinopteri; Cypriniformes; Nemacheilidae.
ACCACCAAAAUUAACUCAAAAGUAUAGAUAAUUUAGCAUUAAAUAAAUAACAAAACUAAAUCAUUUUUCCACCUUAGUACGGGAGACGGAAAAGGUAAUUUAAGCAAUAGAGAAAGUACCGCAAGGGAAAGCUGAAAGAGUAAUGAAAUAAUUCAUUUAAGCACAAAAAAGCAGAGCUUAACCCUUGUACCUUUUGCAUCAUGAUUUAGCCAGCACUACUCAAGCAAAGUGACCUUUAGUUUGAAACCCCGAAACCAAGUGAGCUACCCCGGGACAGCCUUAAAGGGCGAACCCGUCUCUGUGGCAAAAGAGUGGGAAGAGCCCCGGGUAGAGGUGAUAAACCUACCGAACUUGGUGAUAGCUGGUUGCCUGAGAAAUGAAUAGAAGUUCAGCCUCGUAUCCCUUUAGCCAACCAAGAAAUAUCUGAAUAAGCACAAAAGAGAAAUACGAGAGUUAGUUGAAGGGGGUACAGCCCCUUUAAUAAAGGACACAACCUUAAAUAGGUGGAUAAGAGUCACACUUUAUAAAACUAGUUGUUCCAGUGGGCCUAAAAGCAGCCAUCUGAGUAGAAAGCGUUAAAGCUCAAACAACAUGCAGUUUAUUAUACUGAUAAAUAACCCGACUCCCCUAAAAAUAUCAGGCCAUUCCAUGCCACCAUGGAAGAGACCAUGCUAAAAUGAGUAAUAGGAGGAUAUGAUCCUCUCCUAGCACAAGUGUAAGCCAGAUCGGACAAACCACUGGAAAUUAACGAGCCCAGAAAAAGAGGGUAAUGUGGCCAACAAAAAAAUCAGGAAAAUACCACAGCAUUUAUAUCGUUAAACCCACACUGGAGUGCCUCCAAGGAAAGACUAAAAGAAAGGGAAGGAACUCGGCAAACACAAGCCUCGCCUGUUUACCAAAAACAUCGCCUCCUGCAAAUCCCUAUGUAUAGGAGGUCCAGCCUGCCCGGUGACUACAAGUUUAACGGCCGCGGUAUUUUGACCGUGCAAAGGUAGCGCAAUCACUUGUCUUUUAAAUGAAGACCUGUAUGAAUGGCUAAACGAGGGCUUAGCUGUCUCCCUUUUCAAGUCAGUGAAAUUGAUCUACCCGUGCAG